Long non-coding RNA from Episyrphus balteatus (marmalade hoverfly), 1665 nucleotides. RefSeq lists it as uncharacterized. The record is from RefSeq and is a predicted model, not a curated record. NCBI's taxonomy places the organism in Eukaryota, Metazoa, Arthropoda, Insecta, Diptera, Syrphidae. The transcript is spliced from 3 exons.
UCGAUAUUACGAUAAAAGCUUUUGUUGUUGAGUUUUGUAGUUUCAGUUUGUUUUGUUUUUGUUUGUAUUUUGUUGUCUGGGGGUACUGUUUUUAUUCAUUCAUCCAGCAGCAGCCAGCAGUCAGUGUGCAAGUGCAUUUCCUUUUCAAGUAAUUUUUCCAUCAAUGUCAUCAUCACGUUGUGGCCGGAAUAAAAAAAAAAAAAAAAAAUAGUUUCUAUAAGUCCUGUUUAAGGCUUCCCCAAACCGACCCAACAGAGUAGGUGUAUACUGAAUUCUGCCUUUUUAAAGUUUAAAUGAAAAUUUUGAGACAAAAAAAAAAAGUGGAAGAUGAAAAAAAAAAAAAUUGCAACAAAUGAAAAUCUCGUGCUCGGCACAAGAGUACCUCUACACGCUGGAAUAUUUUUUUUACAACUUCUCUGUUGUUUGUUUCAUUUUAUUUUUUAUUAUUGUUUUGUGUUGGUUGGGAGAGACUGAAUUUUUUCCUUUUUUUUAUUAUUUUUCUUAAACACGCUACUGUUUUGUGGUUCAACUCUGUCCUGACUGUUCUCGUUUGUCUGUCCGUCCGUCUCUGCUGCUCUUACGUACGUUUGUCAGCAGCGUAGAAGGUAUAUCUUUUGUGUGUACAUCCUCGACAACAACGACAAUAAUCGUGCACAAUCUCUGAAAAAGUAUUAAAGCCAAAAGGAGUGGAAAUAAGGCAGCCAGCAAACAUUAUAAAAAGGAGCAGCAGCAGCAUAACAGCACAACAGCCAGUAAAAGCCGUAUACACCAGGGGAAUAUAAGGCGAACAAAUAAAAUGCUCAACGAGAGAAAAAUAAGUGAGCAAAAAUACUACCAAACCAUCCAAAAAAAGUUUAUGGCUACCGUUUUGCUGUUGCAAGUUAUUUUAUUCUUUUGAAAGCGGCUUUCUUUGUGUCAUCGUUUGUUAUACUGGACGACGACUGGCGGCCGACGAUGCGGCAUAUACCGUGUGCCAUUCCUGCUGUUACUAUAUACUCCCCAAGUGCUGAUGCUGGCUGCUGCUACUCUUACUGCCCAUUUUCUUGUGAUGUUGCAUGCAGCAAAAAAACACAGCACAACGAUGGACUGUUGACUGUUUUGUUUGUUGUUGUUGUUAUUUUCUGUUAUUAUUGUUGAAUGGUGGACCAUUGGAAGAGGAAUGACAGUCAAUAUAGUGGGCUGUCUUUACGACCUGGAAAUCAGCAGGAAUCAGCAAAUGGUUUUACAACCAAAAGACGACACAAACAACGAAGAAGAAGCAGCGGCUAACAGAAGACAAUGUAAGCGCAGCGGUGAUGAUGGUGACGGCAAGCGAACAGCAGAGCGGCGAGAUUGCACAGGGAAAUAUUUGAAAAUGCACUCAAGCGAUUGAAUGAGAGAAGAGGAGAAGAGAAUUUUGAAAUUGAUGGGCGCUGUCGAAUGAAAAUAGAAAAGGGUGUAUUUUGAUUAUCUGACAGAUUGUUAGGCAUCUAAUUGAAAACAAAAUAAAAGGCUUUUCAACAUUGUCAUUCGCACUAACAAGCAACAUUUCUGUGGUAAAAAAAAACUGGGCUUUCUUUAUUUCAAUUUCUUAAAUGGCGCCCAACGUGAAUGAAAAAUUUGCAUUCUGAACUCAGAGAGUUUCAUUUAUAUUCACAAAUCGUAAUUAUUUAUUCUAUAUUACAA